UACGAAGGGUGCAAGCGUUACUCGGAAUUACUGGGCGUAAAGGGUGCGUAGGUGGUUCUUUAAGUCUGCUGUGAAAUCCCCGGGCUCAACCUGGGAAUGGCAGUGGAUACUGGAGAGCUAGAGUGCGGUAGAGGGUAGUGGAAUUCCCGGUGUAGCAGUGAAAUGCGUAGAGAUCGGGAGGAACACCAGUGGCGAAGGCGGCGAUCUGGGAAGAUACUGACGCUGAGGUGCGAAAGCGUGGGGAGCAAACAGG
This 253-nucleotide ribosomal RNA is filed under the name uncultured bacterium. RNAcentral's name for it is "partial 16S ribosomal RNA". It matches the Rfam family "Bacterial small subunit ribosomal RNA", at positions 524 to 776 of the family's 1533-position model. The record is from RNAcentral.